RNAcentral lists this long non-coding RNA (1690 nucleotides) under Equus caballus (horse). RNAcentral's name for it is "lncRNA (ENSECAG00000046321.1)". Lineage: Eukaryota; Metazoa; Chordata; Mammalia; Perissodactyla; Equidae. The record is from RNAcentral.
GCUCCCCCUGAACUCAGCGUGCUUGUAAACCAAAUUGGUUACAACAGGCGGUGACGUGGUUUUCUUGUUUGACUCCUGCCGUGUUUCUAAGUUUUCACGUGAUUUUGUUUGACUCUGCCAGACCAGGUUGGGAGCUCCAUCAUCAUCUUCUUCCUCGCCAACGUAUAUCAAAUGCAGUUCUUCGGCCCAGCAAAGCGCCUGAGGAGGAGGAGCCAGCGAGGAGCCAGGGGUGAGCAGCCCUUUGCUUUAUGAACCACAGUGUGGGACCUCUCUCCCAUGCCUCUCCCCUGGAUGGGGGCUCCAUCUCGAUUGCUCACAUCUCAGGAUGAGCCACGUUUCUCCUUGUGAGACGGUAAAUGACAUUCAAGAAAUAACCUUGAGUCUUAAAAGCCCUCCAGAAGAAACGCUGCUCGGGUUGGGUGGCGACUUCUGGCAAGCGUUCAGUAGUUGUCAUCAUCAUCAUCAUUACCACUGAAGAAUGGGCGGUGUGAGUCAUCAAGGCACAAGUCAGACAGACUUGUCUAGGAGCCCCCGUGACUGAAUCAAGCUGCUAUCCUCUCUAGGUCCAGUUCCUCACCUGUAACAUAAAAUUUUAAAUGAUACGUGUGGCUCGCAUUAUAGUUCUUUUGGACAGCGCUGGCCUGUGGGACGGUGUAAAGAUUAAGAAUGCAGCUAUGAGAGUCCAACUGCCUGAAUUCUGUUAAAGGAAAAAUUAUUCUGACACUUGUUAAAGUGCCACGUGGCCAUUUUCACCAGGAAACAAAACUCCCACCAUGUCAUGAGUUGCACAAAGCUGGGAUGCUGGUGGUCAUCUCUGCGCCUGCCCCAGCUACGAGGACCGCUCAUCCUCAACAGCCCUGAGACAGACACUGUCAAAAGUUGUGCCUCAUCAAAAUGGCAAGUGGCUGCAGGUCACAGACCUUUAAAUCCUUCAGAGUUAAUUUGUCAAUGCCAAGGUCAUAGUGGAUUUAAAAUAGUUCCCUCUCUCUCUCUCCUUCCCUCUCCACCCCACGCCCCCAAUUUGAAAUACUUGGUGACCCCAGAAUGAGCAGAUUAAAGGGAACAUUUGUCAUGGGCAGACAUGGCAGGCCAGGACCAUUGGCCAAAGCUGGGCCAUUCAACAUUUGUCAUUGUUGGGAUGGGCAGCCUAAAUCUCCAGUGAGGAGAUUUAGAAUUCUCCACAGAAAAGAGAAAUCCAUCUCUUUUCCAGCAAUCUAGCUCAUCCUAUUAGAAAGGCCUUAAAACCACAUCAAAACAGAGACAGCUGAAUAUGACACCCAGGCUCACGUGGACGAAGUCGGCUCUAUCUAUUGGACCCAGAUGUCAAUUUUGUUAAGAGGUCAGGCUCUUAUCUUUGGGAAGAAGUUUUCUGAGCAAUCCCGUGCCCAGCAGAGACCUCGAGUAAGCCAAAACUGGUAAGGAACUGUCCCUUUGGUUCUCUGCCCCACCUCUCUAAACUUCCCCUUUCCUCAGUAGCUAGAGCCUUCAUGCAAGUGGUUCUGUGAUUUCAAUGCCCAUUAGAAUCACCCAGAAUGUCUGUUUAAAAUGCAAGUUCCAGGGGCCAGCCCCGUGGCUGUUAAGUUCGUGCAUUCUGCUUUGACAGCCUGGGGUUCGUCUGUUCGGAUCCUGGGCACAGACCUACAUACCACUCAUCAAGCCAUGCUGUGGUGGCAUCCCACACAGAAGAACU